UUAAGUCCUGCCCCUUUUCUGUGACCCUUGCCUUGGGACCCAUGGGCUCUCUCUGAACUUGGACACUUAAGGGCUGGCCCUUCCACACUGCACUCAUCUCUAUCUGCUCUGUGAACUUGGGUGUAAGCACUGUCCGGGGUCCUCUGAUACCCUUAGGGAAUUCUGACACACCCAGGUUUGAGAAAGGCUUUGAAUCAAUGGCAUUUGAGGUGGUUUAUUCCCUAACUCAGGGAGGAAUUCAAGAAUCAGGCUUCCUUUGG
Molecule: long non-coding RNA, 260 nt
Filed under: Nicotiana benthamiana
Lineage: Eukaryota; Viridiplantae; Streptophyta; Magnoliopsida; Solanales; Solanaceae
Description: long non-coding RNA (NBEN_LNC036380)
Source: RNAcentral